RNAcentral lists this unclassified non-coding RNA (376 nucleotides) under uncultured bacterium. Its description in RNAcentral is "contains 16S-23S intergenic spacer region". The record is from RNAcentral.
UCCCGUUUGACACGGGCAGUCCCUCUAGAGUGCCCAACUAAAUGAUGGCAACUAGAGGCAAGGGUUGCGCUCGUUGCGGGACUUAACCCAACACCUCACGGCACGAGCUGACGACAGCCAUGCAGCGCCUGUACAGGGGUCCUUUCGGAAGGGGCUAUCUCUAGCCCUGUCCCCCAUAUGUCAAACCUGGGUAAGGUUCUUCGCGUAGCGUCGAAUUAAACCACACGCUCCACCGCUUGUGCGGGUCCCCGUCAAUUCUUUUGAGUUUCACCCUUGCGAGCGUACUCCCCAGGCGGUAUACUUAUCGCGUUAGCUUCGACACAACCGGGGUUGAGUCCGGUUACAUCUAGUAUACAUCGUUUACGGCGAGGACUAC